AUGCUUAAUCGCGGCUCAUCUUUCAUACCUCCCUGUUGGACUUCGGCCGAGCUUUGUGCUCGGCCUUUUUU
This 71-nucleotide non-coding RNA is filed under the name Antarctobacter aquimaris. RNAcentral's name for it is "Maliponia aquimaris Singlet oxygen resistance RNA X". It matches the Rfam family "Singlet oxygen resistance RNA X". From Rfam's summary of the family: SorX (RSs2461)like SorY is a singlet oxygen induced sRNA that counteracts oxidative stress by targeting mRNA for a transporter in Rhodobacter. The record is from Rfam by way of RNAcentral. Lineage: Bacteria; Pseudomonadati; Pseudomonadota; Alphaproteobacteria; Rhodobacterales; Roseobacteraceae.